UGCGUAGGUGGCGCUGUAAGUCAGGUGUGAAAUUUCGGAGCUUAACUCCGAAACUGCAUUUGAUACUGCGGUGCUUGAGGACUGGAGAGGAGACUGGAAUUUACGGUGUAGCAGUGAAAUGCGUAGAGAUCGUAAGGAAGACCAGUGGCGAAGGCGGGUCUCUGGACAGUUCCUGACACUGAGGCACCAAAGGGGCCCAGGGGAAGGCAAAACGG
Molecule: ribosomal RNA, 215 nt
Filed under: uncultured bacterium
Lineage: Bacteria
Description: partial 16S ribosomal RNA
Rfam family: Bacterial small subunit ribosomal RNA (bases 1-187)
Source: RNAcentral